ACGAACGCUGGCGGCGUGCCUAAUACCUGCAAGUUGAGCGAUGAAGAUUGGUGCUUGCACCAAUUUGAAGAGCAGCGAACGGGUGAGUAACGCGUGGGGAAUCUGCCUUUGAGCGGGGGACAACAUUUGGAAACGAAUGCUAAUACCGCAUAAUAACUUUAAACAUAAGUUUUAAGUUUGAAAGAUGCAAUUGCAUCACUCAAAGAUGAUCCCGCGUUGUAUUAGCUAGUUGGUGAGGUAAAGGCUCACCAAGGCGAUGAUACAUAGCCGACCUGAGAGGGUGAUCGGCCACAUUGGGACUGAGACACGGCCCAAACUCCUACGGGAGGCAGCAGUAGGGAAUCUUCGGCAAUGGACGAAAGUCUGACCGAGCAACGCCGCGUGAGUGAAGAAGGUUUUCGGAUCGUAAAACUCUGUUGGUAGAGAAGAACGUUGGUGAGAGUGGAAAGCUCAUCAAGUGACGGUAACUACCCAGAAAGGGACGGCUAACUACGUG
Molecule: ribosomal RNA, 496 nt
Filed under: uncultured bacterium
Lineage: Bacteria
Description: partial 16S ribosomal RNA
Rfam family: Bacterial small subunit ribosomal RNA
Source: RNAcentral